Molecule: transfer RNA, 65 nt
Filed under: Aegorhinus superciliosus
Lineage: Eukaryota; Metazoa; Arthropoda; Insecta; Coleoptera; Curculionidae
Description: tRNA-Leu
Rfam family: tRNA
About the family: Transfer RNA (tRNA) molecules are approximately 80 nucleotides in length. Their secondary structure includes four short double-helical elements and three loops (D, anti-codon, and T loops).
Source: RNAcentral
UCUAAUAUGGCAGAUUAGUGCAUUGGAUUUAAAUCCCAAAAAUAAAGCUUAUACUUUUUUUAGAA